CCAAAACAGAGACACAUGCGCA
RNAcentral lists this unclassified non-coding RNA (22 nucleotides) under Mus musculus (house mouse). Its description in RNAcentral is "oocyte_clustered_small_RNA13540". The record is from RNAcentral. Lineage: Eukaryota; Metazoa; Chordata; Mammalia; Rodentia; Muridae.